RNAcentral lists this ribosomal RNA (501 nucleotides) under uncultured bacterium. RNAcentral describes it as "partial 16S ribosomal RNA". It matches the Rfam family "Bacterial small subunit ribosomal RNA", at positions 30 to 523 of the family's 1533-position model. The record is from RNAcentral.
AUUGAACGCUGGCGGCAUGCCUUACACAUGCAAGUCGAACGGCAGCACGGGUGCUCGCACCUGGUGGCGAGUGGCGAACGGGUGAGUAAUACAUCGGAACGUACCUUAUCGUGGGGGAUAACGCAGCGAAAGUUGCGCUAAUACCGCAUACGCCCUGAGGGGGAAAGCGGGGGACCGUAAGGCCUCGCGCGAUUAGAGCGGCCGAUGUCUGAUUAGCUUGUUGGUGAGGUAAAAGCUCACCAAGGCGAUGAUCAGUAGCUGGUCUGAGAGGACGAGCAGCCACACUGAGACUGAGACACGGCCCAGACUCCUACGGGAGGCAGCAGUGGGGAAUUUUGGACAAUGGGGGCAACCCUGAUCCAGAAAUGCCGCGUGAGUGAAGAAGGCCUUCGGGUUGUAAAGCUCUUUUGUCAGGGAAGAAACAGCAGCUCUAACACAGUCUGCGAAUGACGGUACCUGAAGAAUAAGCACCGGCUAACUACGUGCCAGCCGCCGCCGUAA